This 854-nucleotide ribosomal RNA is filed under the name uncultured bacterium. RNAcentral's name for it is "bacterial SSU rRNA". It matches the Rfam family "Bacterial small subunit ribosomal RNA", at positions 28 to 896 of the family's 1533-position model. The record is from RNAcentral.
GAUGAACGCUAGCGGCAGGCAUAAUACAUGCAAGUCGAGGGCCUAGCAAUAGGACCGGCGAACGGGUGCGUAACGCGUAUGCAACCUACCUGUAUCAGGGGGAUAGCCCUAGGAAACUGGGAUUAAUACCGCAUAAUAAUAGGAAUAGCAUCAUUUUUAUUUGAAAGAUUUAUUGGAUACAGAUGGGCAUGCGUAGGGUUAGCUAGUUGGAGUGGUAACGGCACACCAAGGCGACGAUCCUUAGGGGCUCUGAGAGGAGUAACCCCCACACUGGCACUGAGAUACGGGCCAGACUCCUACGGGAGGCAGCAGUAGGGAAUAUUGGGCAAUGGAGGCAACUCUGACCCAGCCAUGCCGCGUGCAGGAAGACGGUCCUCUGGAUUGUAAACUGCUUUUGAAUGGGAAGAAUGUGCUCCUUGCGAGGGGUAAUGACGGUACCAUUAGAAUAAGCCACGGCUAACUACGUGCCAGCAGCCGCGGUAAUACGUAGGUGGCGAGCGUUAUCCGGAUUUAUUGGGUUUAAAGGGUGCGUAGGCGGCUUAGUAAGCCGGUGGUUAAAGGUAGUCGCUUAACGAUUUUACAUGCCACCGAUACUGUUGAGCUUGAGUUAUUUGGAGGCAGCUAGAAUUUCCGGUGUAGCGGUGAAAUGCAUAGAUACCGGAAGGAAUACCAAUUGCGAAGGCAGGUUGCUACAAAUAUACUGACGCUGAUGCACGAAAGCGUGGGGAUCAAACAGGAUUAGAUACCCUGGUAGUCCACGCCGUAAACGAUGAUUACUAGUUGUUGGGUUUUCGGACUCAGUGACCAAGGGAAACCGAUAAGUAAUCCACCUGGGGAGUACGCCGGCAACGGUG